UUUAAUCAACAAUUGAGAACCAAAUCUGUACCUUAUGAAUACUUCAGCAAAGGUGAGAUUUCUAAUGUCCCAAGGAUGGUACCUGCACUUGUCAAACAUAAAAGCUCGCUACCUAUUUUAUUUAGACACAAUUAAGGCAAUAAGGCCUACUGGAGUUUCUGCAUACUCAAGGGUUCAUGGGCAUCCUAGGCUCCCAGUAGUGGAAUCAGCAAGGUAUGGCUCAUUCGAACCAUAUGUGGAGAAGUUUAAUUCCUUAUUAGUGAGAGCAGAAGAUAGAAAAUGCAGAAUUAGGAAGUGAGUGACACAAGCAAAUAAUCAGCAAUCACAUACAAACAGUGGUACUCAAGUACACAGUCAAUUACACCCAUAUGGAAGGAAAACAUACCAGCUGAUUAAAGCAUUCAUGUGCAGCUAAUAUCGCUUUAGCCUUCUUGCAAUGUUGUCAUAUGAUUGGUGCCUGCCAGCCUUAGCAAAAGCACGCUUCAUAUUCUCCAUUGUGGACCGUGACAACUCAACUCUCAUGUCAAUCAUCUCAUCAGCACGCUUCGUCACCUCAGUAAACCUGCCAAAAUCAAGCAGCCCUGCUAUUAGCUCUUUGGCAGAGUCCUCAGCUGGGGUAAUGUUGU
This 626-nucleotide long non-coding RNA is filed under the name Zea mays. Its description in RNAcentral is "long non-coding RNA (ZMAY_LNC005099)". Lineage: Eukaryota; Viridiplantae; Streptophyta; Magnoliopsida; Poales; Poaceae. The record is from RNAcentral.